GCCCUCCUGGCGGAAUUGGUAGACGCAAGGGACUUAAAAUCCCUCGAACAGCAAUGUUCGUCCCGGUUCGAGUCCGGGGGAGGGCACCA
This 89-nucleotide transfer RNA is filed under the name Alphaproteobacteria bacterium. RNAcentral's name for it is "tRNA-Leu". It matches the Rfam family "tRNA". Rfam says of the family: Transfer RNA (tRNA) molecules are approximately 80 nucleotides in length. Their secondary structure includes four short double-helical elements and three loops (D, anti-codon, and T loops). Lineage: Bacteria; Pseudomonadati; Pseudomonadota; Alphaproteobacteria. RNAcentral also lists the same sequence under 1 other name. The record is from RNAcentral.